Molecule: ribosomal RNA, 497 nt
Filed under: uncultured bacterium
Lineage: Bacteria
Description: partial 16S ribosomal RNA
Rfam family: Bacterial small subunit ribosomal RNA
Source: RNAcentral
GAUGAACGCUGGCGGCGUGCCUAAUACAUGCAAGUCGAGCGAACAGAUGAGGAGCUUGCUCCUCUGACGUUAGCGGCGGACGGGUGAGUAACACGUGGAUAACCUACCUAUCAGACUGGGAUAACUUCGGGAAACCGGAGCUAAUACCGGAUAAUAUAUUGAACCGCAUGGUUCAAUAGUGAAAGACGGUUUUGCUGUCACUUAUAGAUGGAUCCGCGCCGCAUUAGCUAGUUGGUAAGGUAACGGCUUACCAAGGCGACGAUGCGUAGCCGACCUGAGAGGGUGAUCGGCCACACUGGAACUGAGACACGGUCCAGACUCCUACGGGAGGAAGCAGUAGGGAAUCUUCCGCAAUGGGCGAAAGCCUGACGGAGCAACGCCGCGUGAGUGAUGAAGGUCUUCGGAUCGUAAAACUCUGUUAUUAGGGAAGAACAAAUGUGUAAGUAACUAUGCACGUCUUGACGGUACCUAAUCAGAAAGCCACGGCUAACUACGUG